AUUGAACGCUGGCGGCGUGCCUAACACAUGCAAGUCGAGCGGUAACGCGGGGGCAACCCUGGCGACGAGCGGCGAACGGGUGAGUAAUGCUUGGGAAUCUGCCCAGUAGUGGGGAAUAACCAGCCGAAAGGUUGGCUAAUACCGCAUACGCCCUACGGGGGAAAGCGGGGGACCGAAAGGCCUCGCGCUAUUGGAUGAGCCCAAGUCGGAUUAGCUAGUUGGUAGGGUAACGGCCUACCAAGGCGACGAUCCGUAGCUGGUCUGAGAGGACGACCAGCCACACUGGGACUGAGACACGGCCCAGACUCCUACGGGAGGCAGCAGUGGGGAAUAUUGGACAAUGGGCGAAAGCCUGAUCCAGCGACGCCGCGUGGGUGAAGAAGGCCUGCGGGUUGUAAAGCCCUUUUAGUGGGGAUGAAAAACUCAGACCUAAUACGUCUGGGUCUGACCUAACCCACA
RNAcentral lists this ribosomal RNA (459 nucleotides) under uncultured bacterium. RNAcentral describes it as "bacterial SSU rRNA". It matches the Rfam family "Bacterial small subunit ribosomal RNA", at positions 29 to 483 of the family's 1533-position model. The record is from RNAcentral.